This 229-nucleotide unclassified non-coding RNA is filed under the name uncultured fungus. RNAcentral describes it as "sequence contains ITS1, 5.8S rRNA gene". The stretch from base 181 to 229 matches the Rfam family "5.8S ribosomal RNA", at positions 1 to 49 of the family's 154-position model. Lineage: Eukaryota; Fungi. The record is from RNAcentral.
UCUCCGUAGGUGAACCUGCGGAGGGAUCAUUACUGAGUGAGGGUUUCGGCCCGACCUCCAACCCUUUGUGAAUCAAACCUGUUGCUUCGGGGGCGACCCUGCCGGCACUCUGUCGCCGGGCGCCCCCGAAGGUCUCCAAACACUGCAUCUUUGCGUCGGAGUUUAAAACAAAUUAAACAAAACUUUCAACAACGGAUCUCUUGGUUCUGGCAUCGAUGAAGAACGCAGC